This 69-nucleotide transfer RNA is filed under the name Teredorus guangxiensis. Its description in RNAcentral is "tRNA-Gln". It matches the Rfam family "tRNA". Rfam says of the family: Transfer RNA (tRNA) molecules are approximately 80 nucleotides in length. Their secondary structure includes four short double-helical elements and three loops (D, anti-codon, and T loops). Further hydrogen bonds mediate the characteristic L-shaped molecular structure. tRNAs have two regions of fundamental functional importance: the anti-codon, which is responsible for specific mRNA codon recognition, and the 3' end, to which the tRNAs corresponding amino acid is attached (by aminoacyl-tRNA synthetases). tRNAs cope with the degeneracy of the genetic code in two manners: having more than one tRNA (with a specific anti-codon) for a particular amino acid; and 'wobble' base-pairing, i.e. permitting non-standard base-pairing at the 3rd anti-codon position. The record is from RNAcentral. Lineage: Eukaryota; Metazoa; Arthropoda; Insecta; Orthoptera; Tetrigidae.
UAUAUUUUAGUGUAUGAUGCACAUAAGUUUUUGAUACUUAUAGCAUUGGUUUAAUUCCAUUAAAUAUAA